This 66-nucleotide transfer RNA is filed under the name Tenebrionoidea sp. 22 KM-2017. Its description in RNAcentral is "tRNA-Arg". The record is from RNAcentral. Lineage: Eukaryota; Metazoa; Arthropoda; Insecta; Coleoptera.
UAAUAAGAAGCAAAAUUUGCAUUUAGUUUCGACCUAAAAAUUUUGAUUAUACAAGAUCCUUAUUUU